Molecule: long non-coding RNA, 261 nt
Filed under: Mytilus galloprovincialis (Mediterranean mussel)
Lineage: Eukaryota; Metazoa; Mollusca; Bivalvia; Mytilida; Mytilidae
Source: RNAcentral
UGUGAAAACUUGAUGUUCGUAACGUCACAUACAAUAUAAAAACUUGACGUUCGUGACGUUACAUACCAAUUAAUGACGUCAUUCAAAAAAUUGACCUAUUUUGAGGAAAUUUUUUCUUAAGCAAAAAAAAACCAAAAAAACUGACUUUAUGUAAAAAAAAAAAAAAAAAAAAAAAAGGUAUGCGAUAUGGGUUUCACCAUGCGAUACGGGGUAUGCGAUACGGGUUUAGCUAUGCGAUACGGGGUAUGUGAUACAGGGAAG